AAGCCAGCUGCCCUGUCAUGACGGUAUGCAUGCAGCCCCAUGGAGAGGCCCACAUCAUGAGGAACUAACCAAGCACUAACUUGCCUGGUGUUUCAAUAGGCCACUUUGGAGGCAGAUUCUCCAGCCUUGGUCAGGCCUUCAGAUGACUGCAGCCCUGGCUGAUGACUUGACUGCCACCUCAUGAGAGACCUUGAGCCAGAACCACCCAGCCAAGCCACUCCUGGAUUCCUGAUCCACAGAAACUAGGUGAAACGUCAAGAAUGACUAAAAGCCAACAUUCAAGAAGACAGCAUCUGCAAACAAGUGUUGAUCCCAAGUGUAAUCCUAGGGAACCCGACUUAAGGCCUCCCCAUCUGAAGAACACAAUCUCAAGGAAGAAUUUAAGGGGAAACCUGUCUACACAGUUUGACUUUCUGUAAAGAAUUGCCAUGCUACUCCUGAGGAUCUAGGAUAAUACUGAAAGAAGCACAUAUGGGGCACAAGAUUUCUAGCACUUUAAAGCUUAAUGCUUUAAAAGUAUGUUUUGAGGCUUCUUUAAAAGUUUAUGGAUCUUGCCCAGAGCUGGAGUCGGAGCCCCCGAGGCUGCCGCCGAGAGUGCCCGCGAGCCCGUGGCCCAGCCGAAGCUCUUUCCCGCCGCCUCUCCGCGCCUCGUCCCCGUCCAGCCCCACCCAACCCCCAACCCAGCCUGGUCCCCUGACCCUCAGUCUGGCCCGGUCUGGCCUCCCAGCAGGGUCACGCAACUGCCCCGGGGACGAUGAAAGGAGGAUAAAUGGUGCCCAAGGUGGACAGCGGUGCCUUCCUGCUGCUCUUCCUGCUCUUGCUGUCACUGAGCCGUUGCGGCCAGUGGGGACCCUCUGCUGAGACAGGCUCUGUGUCCAGCACCUGCUCCGGGUCACGCUCUGGGGGAGUAGGAGUCGCACGACUGUCUCAGCCUUGGAUUUGACUUUGGCCUCAUCCACCUAGGGGCCACGGGAGAACCAUGUGGGUUACCAAGUUCAAGGGGAGAGAGAAGAAGCUGAUGAAAAUAGAGGCUCAUCUGGGACUGCCUUCCUUCUCUGGCUCCACCCUUGACUUCUUCAGAGCUUGGGCUUUAAGCCGUGAGCUCCAUCUCAUUCCCUGGGCCGCAAGAAGCUCACUGGGCCCGCGUCUCUGGAGGCUGUUGGGGGGGCCCUUCCUCUGUCUCCAUAGUCGACGGCUUGCUGGGGAAACCCAGGAUCUCCGACUGCCUGGACAUUUGCAUUGCUGUCCCCUCGGGUUUUGUCUCAGGCUGUGCCUGGGGCUGUGCCUCUCCCUCAGGCUCCAGCUUGGUGGCAGACUUCUUGUCAGAGCCAGGUUCGGGGGUCCACAAGGGUUCAGUUCCCCGGGAACUCUCCCCCUCCUUGUUGAUGGCCACAGAGGGAGAUCCCCGUGCCUUGGGCUGCAUCCAGCAGUGGCUGAGGAUCUCGUCGAUGUGGAGCCGCCGGUUGACGUCGGGCUGCAGCAUGUGGUAGAUGAGGUCCUUGCACUCGCCUGUCAGGUGCUUGGAGCGUGGGAAGUUGACGCGGUGCUCCUUCUGGAUACGCAGCAUCUUCUUGAUGUUGGAGUCGUCGUAGGGCAUGGAGCCGCAGACCAUGAUGUAGAGGAUCACGCCUAGGCUCCAGAUGUCGUACACCUUGGGCUGGUAGGGAAUGCCCUGCAGCACCUCUGGGGCCGCAUACGCUGGUGACCCACAGAAGGUCUUGCUUAAUGCCAUUCGACCACUGUCAUCCCGCAGGCAGCGCUUGGAGAAGCUGAAGUCGGACAGCUUGAUGUUGAAGUCCUUGUCAAGGAGAAGGUUGUCACACUUGAGGUCCCGGUGGACGACGUCCAGGUCGUGGCAGUACUUGAUGGCCAAGGAAAGCUGGUGGAACUUCUUGCGAGCUUCGUCCUCAUGCAGGGCUCCCCGGGUUUUGAUUAACUCGAGGAGGUCGCCCUGGACCGCGAGCUCCAUGACGAUGUAGACCUUGCCAUGUGAUGUCUCAAAGAUCUCGUAGGUCUUAAUGAUGGAGCAGUGGUUUAACAUGGCCAGAAUCUCAAUUUCCCGGGGAAGGAAUUUCUCCAAGAAGUCUGCGGGGGCCUUCUUGCGGUCGAUGAUCUUGAUCGCCACAUUGAACUUCAGGCGCUCAGAGUAAGCAGAUUUUACUUUUGCAUAGGAGCCCUCUCCUAAAUUUAUCCCCAGGAGGUAGCCUCGUCGCUUGAGGACAGCAGCGUCAUCCAUGGUGCCAGGAAUGCCCAGUGCCUCUGAGGCUGCCCUCUACAGCCCCGAGGCGCAUGGGCCAGCAGUGUGCUCAUUUACAUCCUGGAUAGAGAGUCCUUUGGGCUGGCCAGGCCUGCUGUUCCUGCCUCCUAGAGGCCAAGACUCUGGAGUGGAACAUUUGGCACUGUCUCCCAGAUGACUUCAGCGAGUGAAGUCACAAAGGAGGAGUGCCCUGGGGGAAUGAGACCCUGGCCUGAGGCACUUGGACUUGGAAUCCUGGAAGGCUGGCCAGUAGGCUGGAGCAGACAAGAUGAGCAGAAAGUGGCCUCGUGUCUUGCUGGGACCUGAGCCCUUGAUGCUGUCCACACAGGUGACCCUCAGGAGUGCAGAGCAGGGCCAAGAAGAGUGGUGUGUCAAGAAGGUAGACAGCUUCCUGGCCCCGGAGUCACGCAGUUUGAGAUGCCUGGAUUCUGCCGCCUCCCUAUACAUCUCUUCCCUUGUCUGAGCCUUUGCUGGCUUCUUACAGCAGCUCUGUAGGAGGACAGCUGGCAGGAGUUCUGCUCUUGGCUGUGAGCUCCCUCCUGGGGACCUGCCCAGCUCACGGCCCUGGCUGGGCUCCCAGGGCAUAUCUGGGGCUGGGGGCUGAAGGUGGGGCCUGGAUGCCACCCUGAGCACUGGCAGCUGCUCUGAGGACAUUACAAGCAGCAGGGGAAGCACUGGACAGCAACCAUCAUUUCUUCUGGCAGUGGAGCCUCUGCUGUGACUGGUUCUGUGUCCAGCACCUGCUCUGGGCCACACCGUCAGGAAGAAGGAGUUGCAUGACUGUCCUAGCCUUGGAUUUGACUUUGGCCUCAUCCACCUAGAGGGAGUGAGAACUCCUUCCUCACAUGAGCCAGGUGGAACCCUGGGCCCUUCAGGAGUGAGUUAGUAGAGCUGGAUGUCGCUCAGGCUGGGUUGGGUCACCACCAGCUGUGGCCCUUCUCCCUUUUCUCUGCUCCUUCACCUUGUUCCCCAACUCUGACUGCCCACUGCCAGUCCUUUGUGCGUGGUUGGUGCUCCUUCCUCCAGACAGCCUCCUUCUCCUUCCUGCUGGGGAAACCCCAAGUGCUGUCUCUUGGAAACCAAAAAUAAAAUUCUAAUCUCCCC
Molecule: long non-coding RNA, 3361 nt
Organism: Homo sapiens (human)
Lineage: Eukaryota; Metazoa; Chordata; Mammalia; Primates; Hominidae
Source: Ensembl